RNAcentral lists this ribosomal RNA (1396 nucleotides) under Klebsiella sp. UIWRF0470. Its description in RNAcentral is "bacterial SSU rRNA". It matches the Rfam family "Bacterial small subunit ribosomal RNA". Lineage: Bacteria; Pseudomonadati; Pseudomonadota; Gammaproteobacteria; Enterobacterales; Enterobacteriaceae. The record is from RNAcentral.
CGGCAGGCCUAACACAUGCAAGUCGAGCGGUAGCACAGAGAGCUUGCUCUCGGGUGACGAGCGGCGGACGGGUGAGUAAUGUCUGGGAAACUGCCUGAUGGAGGGGGAUAACUACUGGAAACGGUAGCUAAUACCGCAUAACGUCGCAAGACCAAAGUGGGGGACCUUCGGGCCUCAUGCCAUCAGAUGUGCCCAGAUGGGAUUAGCUAGUAGGUGGGGUAACGGCUCACCUAGGCGACGAUCCCUAGCUGGUCUGAGAGGAUGACCAGCCACACUGGAACUGAGACACGGUCCAGACUCCUACGGGAGGCAGCAGUGGGGAAUAUUGCACAAUGGGCGCAAGCCUGAUGCAGCCAUGCCGCGUGUGUGAAGAAGGCCUUCGGGUUGUAAAGCACUUUCAGCGGGGAGGAAGGCGGUGAGGUUAAUAACCUCAUCGAUUGACGUUACCCGCAGAAGAAGCACCGGCUAACUCCGUGCCAGCAGCCGCGGUAAUACGGAGGGUGCAAGCGUUAAUCGGAAUUACUGGGCGUAAAGCGCACGCAGGCGGUCUGUCAAGUCGGAUGUGAAAUCCCCGGGCUCAACCUGGGAACUGCAUUCGAAACUGGCAGGCUAGAGUCUUGUAGAGGGGGGUAGAAUUCCAGGUGUAGCGGUGAAAUGCGUAGAGAUCUGGAGGAAUACCGGUGGCGAAGGCGGCCCCCUGGACAAAGACUGACGCUCAGGUGCGAAAGCGUGGGGAGCAAACAGGAUUAGAUACCCUGGUAGUCCACGCUGUAAACGAUGUCGAUUUGGAGGUUGUGCCCUUGAGGCGUGGCUUCCGGAGCUAACGCGUUAAAUCGACCGCCUGGGGAGUACGGCCGCAAGGUUAAAACUCAAAUGAAUUGACGGGGGCCCGCACAAGCGGUGGAGCAUGUGGUUUAAUUCGAUGCAACGCGAAGAACCUUACCUGGUCUUGACAUCCACAGAACUUUGCAGAGAUGGUUUGGUGCCUUCGGGAACUGUGAGACAGGUGCUGCAUGGCUGUCGUCAGCUCGUGUUGUGAAAUGUUGGGUUAAGUCCCGCAACGAGCGCAACCCUUAUCCUUUGUUGCCAGCGGUUAGGCCGGGAACUCAAAGGAGACUGCCAGUGAUAAACUGGAGGAAGGUGGGGAUGACGUCAAGUCAUCAUGGCCCUUACGACCAGGGCUACACACGUGCUACAAUGGCAUAUACAAAGAGAAGCGACCUCGCGAGAGCAAGCGGACCUCAUAAAGUAUGUCGUAGUCCGGAUUGGAGUCUGCAACUCGACUCCAUGAAGUCGGAAUCGCUAGUAAUCGUAGAUCAGAAUGCUACGGUGAAUACGUUCCCGGGCCUUGUACACACCGCCCGUCACACCAUGGGAGUGGGUUGCAAAAGAAGUA